GAUGAACGCUGGCGGCGUGCCUAACACAUGCAAGUCGAGCGAACAGACGAGGAGUUUGCUCCUCUGAUGUUAGCGGCGGUCGGGUGAGUAACAUGUGUACAACCUACCUAUAAGACUGGGAUAACUAUGGGAAACCGGAGCUAAUACCGGAUAACAUGUUGAACCGCAUGGUUCAACAGUGAAAGACGGUCUUGCUGUCACUUAUAGAUGGAUCCGCGCCGCAUUAGUUAGUUGGUAAGGUAACGGCUUAGCAAGGCUACGAGGCGAAGCCGACCUGAGGGGGUGGUCGGCCACACGGGAGGUGAGACACGGUCCAGACUCCUGCGGGAGGCCGCAGUCGGGAAUCUUACGCAAAGGGCGAGAGCCUGACGGAACAACACGGCGUGAGUGAAGAAGUUCUUCGGAUCGUAAAGCUCUGUUGUUAGGAGAGAACAAAUGUGUAAGUAGCUAUGCACGUAUUGACGGUACCUGAUCAAGAAGCCACGGCUAACUACGUG
Molecule: ribosomal RNA, 497 nt
Filed under: uncultured bacterium
Lineage: Bacteria
Description: partial 16S ribosomal RNA
Rfam family: Bacterial small subunit ribosomal RNA
Source: RNAcentral